AGGAGCUGCUCUCUGGAUGGGGAGAUGGGAGCUAGCAGCUCACAAUGGGGUCACAAGAUGCAUGGUGAAUAUUUGAUGUUUUAGAACAAAAAUGUAUUUACAAAUCUCAUUUGAUGCAGACAUCUGAAAAUACUCAGAAGUUACAAGAAUUCAUAAAAUACCCACCAAAGCUAAUAGAAAACAUGGAACCUUCCAGGACAAGAAGUAAAUUAAAAGAACAACCCAGAGGAGUAAUCAAAGUGAGAAGCCAGUGCCGCCUCCAGGUACUGGAUGAUCACAGGGACCUCAGGCUUUGGGGAUUAUUCAACUACCUUCUUGGAAUAAACAACAAAAAAAGUA
Molecule: long non-coding RNA, 339 nt
Filed under: Homo sapiens (human)
Lineage: Eukaryota; Metazoa; Chordata; Mammalia; Primates; Hominidae
Description: novel transcript
Source: RNAcentral